This 429-nucleotide ribosomal RNA is filed under the name uncultured beta proteobacterium. RNAcentral describes it as "bacterial SSU rRNA". It matches the Rfam family "Bacterial small subunit ribosomal RNA", at positions 438 to 860 of the family's 1533-position model. The record is from RNAcentral. Lineage: Bacteria; Pseudomonadati; Pseudomonadota; Betaproteobacteria.
GUCAGGGAAGAAACGGUGAAAGCUAAUAUCUUUUGCUAAUGACGGUACCUGAAGAAUAAGCACCGGCUAACUACGUGCCAGCAGCCGCGGUAAUACGUAGGGUGCAAGCGUUAAUCGGAAUUACUGGGCGUAAAGCGUGCGCAGGCGGUUUUGUAAGUCUGAUGUGAAAUCCCCGGGCUCAACCUGGGAAUUGCAUUGGAGACUGCAAGGCUAGAAUCUGGCAGAGGGGGGUAGAAUUCCACGUGUAGCAGUGAAAUGCGUAGAUAUGUGGAGGAACACCGAUGGCGAAGGCAGCCCCCUGGGUCAAGAUUGACGCUCAUGCACGAAAGCGUGGGGAGCAAACAGGAUUAGAUACCCUGGUAGUCCACGCCCUAAACGAUGUCUACUAGUUGUCGGGUCUUAAUUGACUUGGUAACGCAGCUAACGCGU